RNAcentral lists this ribosomal RNA (253 nucleotides) under uncultured prokaryote. RNAcentral's name for it is "partial 16S ribosomal RNA". It matches the Rfam family "Bacterial small subunit ribosomal RNA", at positions 524 to 776 of the family's 1533-position model. The record is from RNAcentral.
UACGGAGGGUGCAAGCAUUAAUCGGAUUUAUUGGGCGUAAAGGGCGCGUAGGCGGAAUUGUAAGUCAGAUGUGAAAUUCUGGUACUCAAUACCAGGACUGCAUUUGAAACUAUGAAUCUAGAGGGUAGGCGGAGAAAACGGAAUUCCACGUGUAGCGGUGAAAUGCGUAGAUAUGUGGAAGAACACCUGUGGCGAAAGCGGUUUUCUAGCUUACUUCUGACGCUGAGGCGCGAGAGCAAGGGGAGCAAACAGG